GGUUGAUCCUGCCAGUAGUCAUAUGCUUGUUUGAAAGAUUAAGCCAUGCAAGUCUAAGUAUAAGUUUUCACACGACGAAACUGCGAAUAGCUCAUUAAAACACUUAUUAUAACAAUGAGACAAUUCUUCAAUGGAUAUCCAUGGAAAAUCUGAAGCUAAUACAUGUCGCAUUUCAUGCGUGAUUGGUCUUUAGUAAAACUCGGUAGCACUUAUGUGCUCUAGGUGAUCGGAUAGACUCAGAUAUCGCUUUAGCGAGGACUCAUUUCAGUUUGUGACCUAUCAGCUUGGUUGG
Molecule: ribosomal RNA, 292 nt
Filed under: uncultured eukaryote
Lineage: Eukaryota
Description: partial 18S ribosomal RNA
Rfam family: Eukaryotic small subunit ribosomal RNA
Source: RNAcentral